RNAcentral lists this unclassified non-coding RNA (145 nucleotides) under uncultured Chaetosphaeria. RNAcentral's name for it is "sequence contains ITS2". The record is from RNAcentral. Lineage: Eukaryota; Fungi; Ascomycota; Sordariomycetes; Chaetosphaeriales; Chaetosphaeriaceae.
CAACCCUCAGGCCUUGCCUGGUGUUGGGGACCUGCGCCUGCAGUCCCCGAAAGACAGCGGCGGGCUCGUCCCGGCUCCGAGCGUAGUAACUUACGUCGCUCUGGGUGCCGGGCGGGCUCCGGCCGUGAACCCUUAUUUCUCAAGG